UACGGAGGGUGCAAGCGUUAUCCGGAAUCACUGGGUUUAAAGGGUGCGUAGGCGGCUUGGUAAGUCAGAGGUGAAAGCUUCCCGCUCAACGGGAGAACUGCCUUUGAUACUGCCAGGCUCGAAUUGGGUUGAGGCAGGCGGAAUGUGGCAUGUAGCGGUGAAAUGCUUAGAUAUGACAUAGAACACCAAUUGCGAAGGCAGCUGGCUACAGGUAUAUUGACACUGAGGCACGAAAGCGUGGGGAUCAAACAGG
RNAcentral lists this ribosomal RNA (253 nucleotides) under uncultured bacterium. RNAcentral describes it as "partial 16S ribosomal RNA". It matches the Rfam family "Bacterial small subunit ribosomal RNA", at positions 524 to 776 of the family's 1533-position model. The record is from RNAcentral.